This 584-nucleotide ribosomal RNA is filed under the name uncultured bacterium. RNAcentral's name for it is "partial 16S ribosomal RNA". It matches the Rfam family "Bacterial small subunit ribosomal RNA", at positions 355 to 1375 of the family's 1533-position model. The record is from RNAcentral.
UGGGGAAUUUUGGACAAUGGGCGAAAGCCUGAUCCAGCAAUGCCGCGUGUGUGAAGAAGGCCUUCGGGUUGUAAAGCACUUUUGUCCGGAAAGAAAUCCUUGGCUCUAAUACAGUCGGGGGAUGACGGUACCGGAAGAAUAAGCACCGGCUAACUACGUGCCAGCAGCCGCGGUAAUACGUAGGGUGCAAGCGUUAAUCGGAAUUACUGGGCGUAAAGCGUGCGCAGGCGGUUUGCUAAGGCCGAUGUGAAAUCCCCGGGCUCAACCUGGGAACUGCAUUGGUGACUGGCAGGCUAGAGUAUGGCAGAGGGGGGUAGAAUUCCACGUGUAGCAGUGAAAUGCGUAGAGAUGUGGAGGAAUACCGAUGGCGAAGGCAGCCCCCUGGGCAAUACUGACGCUCAUGCACGAAAGCGUGGGGAGCAAACAGGAUUAGAUACCCUGGUAGUCCACGCCCUAAACGAUGUCAACUAGUUGUUGGGGAUUCAUUUCCUUAGUAACGUAGCUAACGCGUGAAGUUGACCGCCUGGGGAGUACGGUCGCAAGAUUAAAACUCAAAGGAAUUGACGGGGUCAUAGCUGUUUCCU